This 253-nucleotide ribosomal RNA is filed under the name uncultured bacterium. Its description in RNAcentral is "partial 16S ribosomal RNA". It matches the Rfam family "Bacterial small subunit ribosomal RNA", at positions 524 to 776 of the family's 1533-position model. The record is from RNAcentral.
UACGGAGGAUGCAAGCGUUAUCCGGAAUGAUUGGGCGUAAAGCGUCCGCAGGUGGCUGUGUAAGUCUGCUGUUAAAGAGUCUAGCUCAACUAGAUAAAAGCAGUGGAAACUACACGGCUAGAGUACGUUCGGGGCAGAGGGAAUUCCUGGUGUAGCGGUGAAAUGCGUAGAGAUCAGGAAGAACACCGGUGGCGAAGGCGCUCUGCUAGGCCGUAACUGACACUGAGGGACGAAAGCUAGGGGAGCGAACAGG